AUGAAGCCCAGCUUGCUGGGUGGAUUAGUGGCGAACGGGUGAGUAACACGUGAGCAACCUGCCCCUGACUCUGGGAUAACAGCCGGAAACGGUUGCUAAUACCGGAUAUGCAUCAUGGCCGCAUGGUCUGUGGUGGGAAAGAUUUUUCGGUUGGGGAUGGGCUCGCGGCCUAUCAGCUUGUUGGUGAGGUAGUGGCUCACCAAGGCGUCGACGGGUAGCCGGCCUGAGAGGGUGACCGGCCACACUGGGACUGAGACACGGCCCAGACUCCUACGGGAGGCAGCAGUGGGGAAUAUUGCACAAUGGGCGGAAGCCUGAUGCAGCAACGCCGCGUGAGGGAUGACGGCCUUCGGGUUGUAAACCUCUUUUAGCAGGGAAGAAGCGAAAGUGACGGUACCUGCAGAAAAAGCGCCGGCUAACUACGUGCCAGCAGCCGCGGUAAUACGUAGGGCGCAAGCGUUAUCCGGAAUUAUUGGGCGUAAAGAGCUCGUAGGCGGUUUGUCGCGUCUGCUGUGAAAACCCGAGGCUCAACCUCGGGCCUGCAGUGGGUACGGGCAGACUAGAGUGCGGUAGGGGAGAUUGGAAUUCCUGGUGUAGCGGUGGAAUGCGCAGAUAUCAGGAGGAACACCGAUGGCGAAGGCAGAUCUCUGGGCCGUUACUGACGCUGAGGAGCGAAAGGGUGGGGAGCAAACAGGCUUAGAUACCCUGGUAGUCCACCCCGUAAACGUUGGGAACUAGUUGUGGGGGCCUUUCCACGGUCUCCGUGACGCAGCUAACGCAUUAAGUUCCCCGCCUGGGGAGUACGGCCGCAAGGCUAAAAC
Molecule: ribosomal RNA, 821 nt
Filed under: Microbacterium barkeri
Lineage: Bacteria; Bacillati; Actinomycetota; Actinomycetes; Micrococcales; Microbacteriaceae
Description: bacterial SSU rRNA
Rfam family: Bacterial small subunit ribosomal RNA
Source: RNAcentral